UUGACAUGAUUUAAAAUCAUAAGGCCCCAUGGGCCCAAACGACUGACGUUGACAUAGAGUUCGUGGAUCCUCCGGCGGGCACGCGCCAACCACGUGGGUCGGCGGCGGGACGUCCCGACCCCGUAUGGGGAGGGACGCCCGACGGCCCGCCAAAGCAACAGACUAGGUAUACAAAGGGUUGAGGGUGCGGACCGAAGUCCAACUCUCGGUAAUGAUCCUUCCGCAGGUUCACCUACGGAAA
RNAcentral lists this unclassified non-coding RNA (241 nucleotides) under uncultured fungus. RNAcentral's name for it is "sequence contains ITS1". The record is from RNAcentral. Lineage: Eukaryota; Fungi.